GUUAGAAGAUAUAAAACCAAAGACUCAUACGGAGUUUAGCUACACCAUCAUAUCUUUGAGAGGCAAGAAGAAGCUUGGUUAGUAUUUUGGAGUCAAAUAUGACUUGAUGUCAUGUGUAUGAUUAAGUAUAAGAACUUAAAACACAACUAGAGCAUAAAAGCCUAAGUAGGGUUGCCUUGUUAGAAGAUACAAAACCAAAGACUCAUA
This 207-nucleotide small RNA is filed under the name Arabidopsis thaliana (thale cress). RNAcentral's name for it is "ATSL270830". The record is from RNAcentral. Lineage: Eukaryota; Viridiplantae; Streptophyta; Magnoliopsida; Brassicales; Brassicaceae.